RNAcentral lists this long non-coding RNA (214 nucleotides) under Setaria viridis. RNAcentral describes it as "long non-coding RNA (SVIR_LNC002983)". Lineage: Eukaryota; Viridiplantae; Streptophyta; Magnoliopsida; Poales; Poaceae. The record is from RNAcentral.
GUUGACCCAUAGCAGAUAUACAGCACUCCAUAUAAAUACGGAGCGACGAACUCGUGAGUAAGAGAACUAAUCUCGCUUAUUAAAUAAGCACUAAAUUAGAUAAGGAAUCACGAAUACUCACUUACUUAGCAUAGGAGGAAGCCAGCAUCCGUAGAGGUACAUGACCAGAGUAGAGUGCUGAGGGACUUAACACUCCUUCAAGCUACUCCCUUUC